GAAUCGGAAAUCAGAAGAUAUCGAAGAAGAUGUUGAUGAUGAAGCUGAUGGUUUCAUCAAGCAGAAGCAAAAGGGCUUUGAACUGUGCAAAUGGAAGACCUUCAAAUUUACAUAGGCCAGGGAGCAUGUGGGUUGUGCUUAGAUUACUGGGAAACUAUAUCCCAGCUGCAGUGUGAACCAACACAGAUAUUUAAAUAAAAUGCCCGUCUUAAUUUCUUGUGUUGGCAGAACUUCUUUCAGGGUUGUUUGGAUAUAGCAUGUCAAGAAAAUUUUAGUAUUUUAUCUUUUAAUAAGACAAUAUAGUGUGAUAUACUAUAGCUUUUCAUUGAUGGUAUUCUGCCACGAAAGAUUUUGCCUUGCUGCUUAUUUGUGAAUCCAGGGUUUCAUACAGUGCAAUCUUAUUACAGCGAUUAAGCAUUCAACAAAAUAAAUUGUCGAUUUGAUGAGUGUUACAGAAGCUAAACUUCGGAGCGAAUUGCAAAUGAUGCUUUGCCAGAUUAUAAUUUUACUAUAUCAAAUUCUGAAUCCAUCAAUAGGCAGCCAAAGCAAAAUCAUCAUGUCCUGUAAUGUCGGUGUCAUCUCUUCAUGUCUAAAAUAGAAUGUUUAUGUCUCAAGUUUUCAUCGCUCAACCAGUGCAUGGAUCAAGCUUGAUGUGGUUUAGACAACACUACACCAUUAACCAGUUUUACCGACGGACUAAUUCCGUCGGUGACAGCAAUGAAAUCCGUCGGUGAAAUAAUUACCGACGGCCUCACUGACGGAACACGUCCGUCGGUAUAACAGUCGUCGGUAACUCCCAUUUCCAUCGCUAAGUCUGUCGCAAAUAAAAAAAACACCCACCGACGGAACACCGACGGUCUUACAGACGGAUACGCGCGCGCCAAAAAAAAAGUUUCCAGCGGGAACAUUACCGACGGAAUAAAUCCGUCUGCAAUUUCAACGGUAAGUACCGACGGACUUACCGAUGUAUAUUCCGUCGGUAAUUAUGGCAUGGCUGGUAAUUGUUUGGCAACUCUCUGUGAAAUACCGACGGACAGUAUCCGUCGGUAAAUCCGUCUGUAUUUAAUCACCGACGGAUAAUUAUGGCAUGGCUGGUAAUUGUUUGGCAACUCUAUGUGAAAUACAUAUCCGUCGGUAUGUAUUUAAAAUAUAUAUAUAUAUAUAUAUAUAUAAUAAUUUAUUAAUAGUAAAAAACCUUAAUAAACAAAUAAAAAUGGAUUAAACAUUAAAAAUAUAAAAGUAAUGUUAAAUAAUAUUCAUUACAAAUUUAAUGUGUUUAAAAAACAAAAUUAAACUAGAAUAGCGGCGGAGCUGGAGGAGGAGGAGGAGGAGGAGGCUGGUUGUUCCCGGGACCAUACGGCCAAAAAGAAGCUGCACAAGUAUCGUCACCCAUCUUUGAUCUCAUCUCCAUGACUAUUUGACGGAGCUCAUCAUAAUUCGUCGAGAGUUGAUAUUGUUGUUUCAACGCAAUGAACUCCUCAGACUGGGUGUUCGAUACUGAUGGAGAGCUUCCAACAGUUGAGACACUACGAGCCGAACGCAAGUUUUCAGCCGUAGUGUUGGAGAGCCCGUAGACCCGAUUUUUAUCGGGUCCACCAGACGAUCCCGCCUCCAUCCACAAAUCUGGAUCGAAAUCUGGAUGGGUCGACGGAUUGUCCCCAUAUCUCUCCCUCAACCGGCUAUUAUAGGUCUCCUGAAAAUUCCGUCGGUAAAAAAAUCCUCAAAUGCAAUUCAAGAUGCAAUUCAAGAAAAUAAUAACUCACAAAAUAAAAUGAAUGAACGAACAUACCACGAAGUGCUGAGCACGGUUAUCCACGAACUGCUGCACCCCCUUUUGGCGGUCUUGACUUCGCACAUGCGUCUCUACAAACAGCUCCAUUGGACUCGGUUCACGUCCAAGAGACGCAGCCUGUAAGGAAAAAAUACGUUGAAAGUUAAAUAUAUUAUAAGGAACGACAAAUUAAUUAACGAUAUAUUUCAUUAAAAUUAAUCUUACCAUCCGCUUUGCAUGUGCGCUGAAUGGGACGGAUCCGCCAGUAUGCGUGGUCACCGAACCAUGAAUUUGCCGGUUCCGGUUGUCGGCGCCGGACUGUGAGCGCCGUGAGAACCGCUCUGAGGUCACGUGCUCAAUAUAUGCCGUCCAUAUUUCCCCCGAGAUGAAUGGCGGUUUGAAUUCCUGCCAAACCGCCACCUCAUUCCAUCAUUCAAGACCGUUAUCCCUCGCAUGUCUUUUUUAUUUUUUUUGGGUGUCAUACCAAAAAUCACGCAACCUACUUCCAUAGUAAUAAAUUAGAAUUUAAAACAUAAAAUUAUAAAACAAAAAUAAAUAUUAUUUUCGAUGAUACCUAGUUGCCGCGUGAUUCUCCCAUACCCUCCUCACAACAUUGUUGUCCGCCCUAUCCCACUCAAAUUUGUUCUGUGUAUAUAAAUAAUUCAUAUAAAAUAAAAAUAGUACAAGAUAUAAAAUUAUAAAAAUCAUUUAUUAAAAAUAAACUGGAAAUUAAAAAUUAACACCGACCUGAAAUCGCUUAAACAAUGCAUCGAUAUUAGGUUUCCACUCAGGAUGUCUGGAAACCUGGCUCCAUUGAAAUAAUGGAAUCUCCAUCGACGAUUUAAACGCCAAUGUUAUAGUCCUUGCAGCCUCAAUGUUUGUGAACCUGAAAUUAAAUAAAAGUAGUAAUAUUAAUUAGUUGUUCAUAAAUUAUGUUAUAAGUAUAUAAAAAAAACUAAAACCUAAACAAACUUACAUUGAGAGGUCAUCCUUCCAUUGUGCCUGGUACUUGCGGGUGAAUUGACCCCGCUGUGAAGGCACACCGCUUCUGUGCUGUGAAACCGCGCUAGAAGAGGCAGCAUCACAAGUUGGCGUAGAUUCCUCGCCGUGAUCAGCACCUAAGGAUACGUCCUCCUCGCUGCUAGAAGAACUAGCUGCAACCGUCUUCUGACGACGUGCUGUAGAUUUCAUUCUACGCAUCUGCACAAAUUUAUACGAAUAAUUACAUAAUUAACUUCGAUUAUUUUAAAAAAAUUCGACAGAGUCUCCCCUAUACUGGAGGGUCCCAAGUUAUUGACAAAAUCAUAUUACACUUCCAAUUUUAUUUCACAUCCCGAUCCAAUCAUCCUGGAUCUCAACCCAACUCAUCAUCAUCAACACAACAUUUUAUUCAAUAACAUCAUAUAAUGAUAUUCAAGUAAAAGAAUCAAUUUCAACUAUGAACAUUCAUUGUUAAAUUGGUACUUAGAGUUACAAAUAUUAGAUUAAAGUCAUACAUUCAAAUUUACGGAUUAAUAUUACAUUUCAAGUUUUAGGAGACAAGACUCUUAAUUUAUAAAUAAUUACAUGGUCAAAAGCAAAAGAUAACUAAAUCAAUAUCAUUCCUAACACGAUCGACCCUAGUGGACCUCAAAAUAGAAAUUAACGUGUACACAUAAAUAUAAAAAUGUAAUAACAAGCAAUAACAAUGACAUGGAAACAAUAAUAUACUAAAUUAAGAUAAACUAAUUAAAUGUAAUUCUAUAUAUAAAAAUUAAUAUUUUUAACAUAAAUUCAACAAUAACAAUUAUAGCAAUACAAACAAUAAUAUCCUAAAUUAAGAUAAACUAAUUAAAUGUAAUUCUAUAUAUAUAAAUUAACAUUUUUAACAUAAAUUCAACAAUAACAAUUAUAGCAAUACAAACAAUAAUAUCAUAAAAUUAAUAAAUAAAAUUAAAAAAACUAAAAAACACUUCACAAAACAACAUAAACACAAAACAAACAAUACACAAAACUAAAAAACACUAUAUCAAUUCAAAAUAAAUUUGGGAAUAAAAAAUGCUUACCUUAAUAGUGUGUUGAAUUUAAGAUUUUAUCUACAAACAAUACACAAAACAAAGAACACCAAAAAAAAUAAUCAUAAUUAAAAAAAAAAAAUACAAAGAUAAAGAAAAAAGAAUACAUACCUUUUAAAACUACCACCAAAACAAUAAAAUCCUUUCUAAAAGCUAAAUAUAAACGAGAGAAGAAGAGAAAUGGAGAAGAGGAAAAGAGAAACGGAAGCAGAGAAGAAAAUGAACCAAGAGGGGGGACGGGGGGGUUAUAUAUAGCAAUUUUUCCGACGGAAUUACCGACGGAAAUUAAUUGUUGUCGGUGGCAUUAAAUUCCGUCGGUAAUUUUGUCAGAAAUUAAUUGAAAUGCGCAAAAAAAAGUUCGAAAAUCCCGCCAAACUUUUCGAUCUGUCGGUAUUCGUGCAGACGGACACGUGUCACACAUGUGUGCGCUUCGGGAUGUGCGUAAAGCCGUCGGUGAUUCCGUCGGUAUUUGUGCAGACGGACACGUGUCAGACAUGCAUGCGCUUCGUGAUGUGCGUCAAUCCGUCGGUGAUUCCGUCGGUAUUGUACGUCGGUAACUUCGUCGGUAAACUUGUCGGUGAAUGUGGCACAAUCCCGUAAUUUUUUUGCAACUCUCUGUGAAAUACCGACGGGUUAUAUUCCGUCAGCAAAUCCAUCGGUCAUUGUGGCACAAUCCCGUAAUUUUUUUGCAUCUCUCUGUGAAAUACCGACGGGUUAUAGUCCGUCGGUGAAACCGUAAAUUUUUCUUAUUUUUUUUAUGUAACCCUGUCAAAAAAUCUUGAAUUGCAAUCUUACAGCACACACAACACAAUAACAAGGGCCGACCAUUAAAGAAGAAUAAAUAUUUCAUGUUUCAAAUUAUUACAUUAUAAAAUAAGGCUUUAUAACAUGUUUAGUUAGUCGGAAUUUUCAUCUUCGUCCUCUAUUGAAUUGUUAUCAUCAGCUUCAUCGCACUCUUCAAUUUCGUUAUCAUCUUCUUCAACAACAUUCUUUUUUCCACUAGUAGAGCUCAGAACAACAUUCAACUCCUCUGCGUCAACAUCAACAAGACUAUUAUUGAAAACACGAAAAUUCAAAUUUUCUUCUAAGUCAAUCGACGGAGCAACUCGGUAUGGUUCAACCAACUCACUAGCUUGAAAGACUUCAUCUAUCACACUUGUGUCUUCGUUCUCAUCCUGAACAACCUUGACACGACCCUUGGGUUUUGUUUUUAAAACGGAUAACCAAUCAACUCUUGAUCGGUCAUUUCUAAAGGAAGGGGUGUAUGUGUAAUAAACUUGUUGGCAUUGCUUUGCGAAAACAAAGACGUCGUUUACGUUGCGGUGUCUAGCUUUUGAGUUGAUUUCAACGAGACCAUAGUGAGGAUCUACUCUGAUUCCUCUGUCAGUUGUGUCAUACCAAUAGCAUUUGAAUAAAAACACUCUAUUUUGCUCGCUAUGAUAUUGCAGUUCGAUGACCUCUUCCAAUCUACCGUAGUAGUCAACUUCAAACUCACUAGAAGUCGAUCCCUUAAUACAAACACCAUUGUUGUAUGUCUUUCUUCCAUGCCCGUAUUCUUCAGUAUGAAAGACAUAUCCAUUGACAAAAUACCCAUUAUAGCACUUGACUUUUCUUUCAGGGCCCAGACAUAGUAAAGACAGUGAAAUAGCAGCACUACCUCCCAUUUGAUAAACUUAGCUUGUAAAUUAAAUAUAACAAUAAUCAAUAAACGAAUAUUAUGUAACAUUGACUACAAUUAAUUAAUUACAUUGCAAGAGAUAAUGAGUUUGUGAUAGGACUUACAUGUGUUCUAAACCAUGUGGCAAAUUGUUCAUCUUGUAAUUGAAAGAUCUGGGAUUCGGUCAGCUGUGAGUUAUUGGACAGUAAGUAUCGUCGAUGUUGCCUACAAGGUUGUUCCAAAUUAUAUGAGUGUAUGGUAUCACAAAACAUAAAUAGUACACUCUUGACAAAGUUUAAGUCGAACAUCUACUUACUUAAUAAAAGGUCUCAGCUCAUCACAGUUAAAUAGGACAUAAUUGUGUGCUUGUCUGAACUCUAUUUCAGACAAAUAUCUUCCCCUCACGACAUUUUUAGGUGUGGGUCGUCCAGGAUUGGAGAAUAUUGACAAGUUCCCACUUGAAUGCACUUCACCACCAUCAUCAUGCCGUGGAACACGGUUUAUCCUCGUUCUCAAAUGAGGUUCGAAAUAGUAUGAGAUAAAUGUUGAGAUCUCCUCAACAAUAUACGCCUCACAUAUUGACGCCUCAACAUGCGCCUUGUUCUUAACCUUUUUUUUAAGAUUGAACAAGUACCUGCAUAUAUAUAAAACAUUAUCAAUUAAAAACAUUAAAAUAAAAAGAAAAAAUUUAAUUAUAAAUGUCAUAGCAACUGUAAUAUUUAACCUCUCGAAUGGAUACAUCCAUCUGUACUGGAUCGGUCCUCCAACUUUUACCUCAAACGGUAAAUGUACGGAUAGAUGCUCCAUUGAGUCAAAAAAUGAUGGAGGGAAUAUCAUCUCAAGUUUGCAUAUUGUCUCGACGAUAUUCUUUUCAAGCCUUUCAAUGUGAUCAACAUUCAACUUGCUGGAGCAUAUAUCUCUGAAGAAAUGACUAAUCUCCGUUAGUGCAUCACAUAUCCCUUUUGGCAACAAAUCACGAAAAGCUAAUGGGAUGAGUGUUUGCAUAAACACAUGGCAGUCAUGACUCUUCAUUCCAUAUAAUCUGCAUUCCUCUGUAUUAACCAGCCUUGAUAUGUUCGAGGCAUGUCCAUCAGGGAAACGCAGACUCUUAAGCCAUUUGUAGACUAGUAGUUGUGCGUUUUUUUCUAGCACGAAGCUUGCUCUUGGUUUUGCGACCUGUGACCCAUCACAAACCAACUCCAUAUUUUUACGGUUACAGAACAGCGCUACAUCCAAUCUAGCCUUGAUGUUGUCCUUUGUCUUCCCCUUCACAUCCAUGACGGUGUUGAAAUUGUUCUCAAACACGUUCUUUUCAAUGUGCAUGAUGUCAAGGUUAUGGCGAAGAAGAUUGGUCUUCCAAUAAGGAAGCUCCCAAAACAUACUUCGCUUCACUCAAUUAUGGGUCAAACCAAAACCAUGAAACUUCUGCUUACCUGAUUGGAGACCAAACACAAUUUCACCGUACUCUGACACAACAUCAAACAAUUCUUCACCGGAAAGAUGCGGGGGUGCAACAUCAUUUUCAACUCUGCCAACAAAGAAAUCAUUUCUGUUCUUUCUGUACCUGUGGUUAUGUGGCAAGAAACGACGGUGAUAGUCAAAAAAAGAAGCUUCACCCCCGUUUGUUAGCGUGAAUGCCUUGUUGUUCUCCAUACAGUAUGGACAUGCUAGUUUUCCAUGCGUGCUCCAACCAAAAACCAUUCCAUAAGCUGGGAAAUCAUUGAUAGUCCACAUCAAAGUCGCUCUCAUAACAAAAUUUUGUUUCCUCGAGAUGUCAUAAGUCAAAGCUCCAGAGGACCACAAUUGUGUCAACUCAUCAAUCAACGGAUGAAGACAAACAUCUAUAUUCCGCCCCGGACUGCUCGGACCUGGUAUGACCAUAGAUAAAAACAUGAACUCUGGCCUCAUACACAUCCCCGGUGGCAAGUUAUAAACCGUCAGUAUGACCGGCCAACAAGAAUAAGGAGCAGCAAAUGACCCGAAUGAGUUGAAUCCGUCUGUACACAACCCAAGACGCACGUUCCUUGAUUCAGCUGAAAAGUGAGGAUGCAUACUGUUAAAGUGUUUCCAGGCUUCACCGUCAGAAGGAUGAACCAUCACUCCAUCAACCGCAUGGUGUGAUUGGUGCCAUGUCAUGUGUUCAGCAGUCCUUGGUGACAUAAAUAACCUCUGCAGUCUAGGUGUGAUUGGGAAGUAUCUAAGUUUUUUAUAUGCCACGAGAGUCUUCCCUCUACCAGUUCUGGGUUUGUAACGGGAAUGCCCGCAUGUCAUGCACUAGGUCAUCUCAGCAUUUUUAAGGUAGUAUAACAUGCAGAAGUUAGGGCAUAUAUCAAUUUUCUGGUAUCCUAAACCGAGGGGUUUCAUCAUGGACUUGGCAGCAUAGAAGUUCUCUUUCAGCCUGUUCCCUUCAGGUAAAAUGCUUCUCGCCCAUUCAAUAAUCUUGUCAUAACCGGCCUCACUCAACCCGUGAUCUGACUUGAUGGUGAACACCUGUGCUACGACUGAUAAUUUACUGUGGUUCGUGCAGCCAUCCCAUAAUGGUUCGUCAGAAUCUCUCAACAGAUCAAAAAACCUUGCUGCAUCUGCAUUAGGUUCUUCUUCUACGAUUGGACAUUCCCUGACAUUACCUUCACUCAUUCUCAUUGCAUCCAUAACCAUAUUCCUGUAAGGAUUACUGUUCUCAUUUCCAACUUCAUGCAUGUUGCUAGCACUAGAAGUUGACCCAACCACCUGUUCUUCCAUGCUCUCAUCAGGAACAAAUAGUUCUCCGUGAGCAUACCAACACAGGUAAUCUUCCAUGAACCCUUUGGUUAGAAGAUGCAUCGUUACAACAUCUUGAUGCAGAAACUUUAAAUUUUUACACUUCCUGCAUGGACACCUAAUACCGCCAUCAGUAAAAUUCCUCGGAAUAGAUGUUGCGAAAUUAAUAAAACCCUGGACACCGUUACAAUAAUCCAUCCUCCGCAAUCCUUGGGGUGAGUCCCGAUACAUCCAUGAACGAUCAUCCAUGACUUCUAUUGAACCUCUAUAAAACAUAACAAAAAUAUUGGUUUUCCCCGACAUUAUCGAUCCAACAAACUAAAACAACACUUAUGUUAAAUAUUCAUUAUCAAUUAUCAACUAUCAACGUUCAUACAUAUAUAAAUUUACAGAAAUCACAACUUUGAAAUAGAAUUGAUAACAAUUAAACAAGACUCGUUAAACAAGUUAUUAAUUAUUUAUUUCAUCACAACGACACAUUUAAUUCGGUGUAAUUCAAACAAAAUUUUAACAAUUUAAUUACAAACAAAUAUAAUUUGACAAAAUCUAAAACAAACUAUAACAACUAUAAAAUUAUACAUUUAUACUACAAGUUUCUUUGAUAAAUAACAAUUAAACAAGUACAAACGUUAACAAAAUACAUAUACUAAAACAAUAAAAUUCACAAUUAAAUAUUAAAACUAAAAAGGAUAGAUUUACUUACAAAAAAAUGAUAAAAUCUACAAGAAACGGAUAUUGUGACCACGUACAAGAUAUAAGAAACUUGAGUGCUCGUGUUGAGAAUAGUAGAGAGUUGGGAUGGGUGUUUAGCAGCAGUUUGGGAGGGGAGGUGCAGUUUGGGAGGGGAGAGGUGGGAUGAGAAAGAAGAAGAAGGAGAAACAGAGGAAGAGAGUGUCGGCAGAUAGGUGGGCAUAUAAUGGUUUUUUCCAAUGGAAUCACCGACGGAUUACUUCCGUCGGUGAAAAUGCCACGUCACUAUACGGCUAUCUCAGUUUGAAUCCCUCGGUAAUUCCAUCGGUAAAAUCGUCUGACGUCACCACGCCGUUGCAUAUUUCCAGACAAACUGACGUCACCACGCCGUUGCAUAUUUCCAGACAAACUGUAUACCCCGUCGGCGAAACAGUCGGUAUAUACCGACAAAUUUUGAAAAAUUUCGUCGGUAAUUCCGUUGGUUUUCUCCGGUUUUCUGGUAGUGCAACGAACAUAUAAUAAACAUGUCUAGAACACAUACAACGAACAUAUAAUAAACAUGUCUAGAACACAUACAAAUGAACCCGCUUAUAGAGUCUCAUAAUUCGCCUAUAUGUUCAACAAUAAAUAGUGGUCUCAUCCUCCAUAAAAAUUUAAAUUAUAAGCAUUUACUCAUAUAAUACCUUUAAUGAUAAGUAUAUUAAAAAUAAAUUAAAAACAUAUUAAAAUUAAAAAUUCUUACAAUGUUAGUGAAUACAUCCUCCGAUUGAUGUCGAUCCUGCAAUCGCAAGACAUAAAUGUUGGCGGGUUUAGUAGGCAUAUACUGUGACUGUUUUCCUAUUAUAGCUUGUUUCAUUGCAUGUGUCACACCUAUAAUAUGCAUGACUUCUCUUGCAUUCAUCUCGUUAUACAAACGAGUAGACAUUCAUUGACCAAACCCGAAUUCUCAUCUAGAUGAGUAUGCUUCAUCACAAGAUCUAGUGUAAUUAGUCCAUUCUAACUCGUCUGAUAAUAAACAGAAUAACAUGCCAUAUAUUGAUCAGUAACUUUGAACCGUGUAAUGAUCAUCAACAAACUAUAUAAAAUCUAUUGGACUCUUGGCACAACAUUAAGAACAUGUGAACAUGAACGUUGGAAUGUCUGUCAUUUACCACAUGUACAUGUUCUUUCAUUCAAGUUUUUUCAUUUUUUAAAAAUCAUUUUUGACAUCAGCACAUCAAAACGAUCCAAAACGUACAAACCAUAUUAAAUUUUAGCCAAAAAAAAAAUUUCAAAUUUUUUGGGAACGCGGCCGCAGCCGCGUUCCCAAACAUGCUCUAAGAACAUGUGAACAUGAACGUUGGAAUGUCUGUCAUUUACCACAUGUACAUGUUCUUUCAUUCAAACUGACUGCCCAUUUGACUUCUUUAAUAACACCCAUUUUAAUAGGGGUGUUGACUUGGAACAUCCAUUGCUCCGAGUCAAACAACAUUGCAGUAUAAUCUCUUAAUCUAUCACUACUCAUUGUCGAUUCAAUCUCAAUUGUUAGGGGCCAAAUUUUACCAUGUUGAAUAAAAUCAUUAUUUUCACGUCUCCGCUUGACCUAAUAACUAUUACACCCGUAAAAUGUUAAUUGCACCAGAGCUGAAACAUGCAUUGUACGAGCACCCUUCAAAACUUGAUUGAAUAAUUUAAAAGAUUAGUUGUCAUAUUACCAUACCAAUGACCGUCAUCGUAACAUAAAAGCCUUUUUUUUUUUAUCUUGGUUCAAAUUAGCAACUGUUAUAGGAUUUGAUUCUUUUAUUACCAACAACAAUCUAGGUAAUUUUCCUUAAAGACUCCUCAUAUGAACCAAUAAGAUUCUCAAUCACCUUUUGUUUUGCAACCCAUGUUUUUUCAUAUGAAAUAUUAUACUUGUAAUGCAACUUUAUUUCAUUAUGUAUGCUUGCAACCAUUAUUGAAAGCUUAUUCAUUACUAUUUGCAUCAGAUUAAUAACGGUCUUUUUUAACAAAGGUUGAAACACAUAUGUGUGACAUUUUUAACUUUGUUAUUUCAAAUGAAUAUGAUAUCUUAUUAUAUCCCCUAUGUAAAUACCUUUUACAUUCAAGUGCUUGCACACAUUGCAAUUGAUAAAUGUAGAGUUCAACCGUUGGAUUCAGUAUUCAACCGAAUGUACAAUGUUAUUGUUUAACUUCAUUAACCAAUUCAUUUUUAUUACUAAAUUCAAAACAAUACCUAGUUUCUAAAAUGCACAAAGUUAGUUAGAUAUUGUGGCUGAGCCUACAGUGCAGCUAGGGUUUGUUUUAAUGUAGCAUGAUAUGGCAUCUAAUCUCCAAAUAUCUAUCAUGAGUUCAAAAGUUGUGGGUUAUAAUCUUCUUCAGGAAGGGCCAGAAACUAGGAAUAAUCUGUAUAGGUGAUGUGAAUCGAUUCAUGCUCUCCACUUUCUAGGCAUUUAUUCUCUUUUAAAGCAUGUGGAUAACUUGAUAUCUGACAAGAGGUAAGGAAUUAGAUGCAACUUUACCAUCUUCAGAGGAUAAAUUCGCAAGACAUGGGUCUAUAAAUUUGCAGAUUCUCUCAACUAAUUGUUGUAAACUGAGCAAAUCAGCAAAAAAUGUCUCAAGGCUCUGCCUACCAAACUAGGCAGCGGCAAGGCUCGAACACCACGUCCGGUGAUUACCAUGACUAUAUUUCGACGUUAUCAAAGAUGCCUAGCGUUAUCCAUGGUGCCCCCCAGUACCCAAGUGUUCACAAGGCCUUCAACAACAAGGUAUCUCAAGAAGAAGAGGUUAACGGUGAAGCUGAUGGCUCCAUCCAGCAGAAGCAAAAGGGCUUUGAACUGUGCAAAUGGAAGACCUUCAAAUUUCCAUAGGCUAGGGAGCAUGUCGGUUGUGCUUAGAUUACUGGGAAACUACAUUCCAGCUGUAGUGUGAACCAACACCAGAUAUUUAAAUAAAAUGCCCGUCUUUCUUGUGUUGGCAGAACUUCUUUCAGGGUUGUUUGGAUAUAGCAUGUCAAGAAAAUUUUAGUAUUUUAUCUUUUAAUAAGACAAUAUAGUGUGAUAUACUAUAGCUUUUCAUUGUUGGUAUUCUGUCACGAAAGAUUUUGCCUUGCUGCUUAUUUGUGAAUCCAGGGUUUCAUACAGUACUGCAAUGUUAGUACAGCGAUUAAGCAUGCAACAAAAUAAAUUGUCGAUUUGAUGAGUGUUACAGAAGCUAAACUCCGGAGCGAAUUGCAAAUGAUUACAUCAAAUUCUGAAUCGCACAGUCUAGAUUGGACAAUCUAUUGUUGAUGCUUGAGAUUUGCUGACUGCAUACAUGGUAUAAUUAAGUUGCCAGAAUCAACUAUAUGUUAGAUAAUUAUAACAUCUUUAACCCUUUGGUAAAUGUUUUAUAUGUUCUCUUCCCUUCUUUCUUUUGCUGUAUCUAGGCUUAUGCUGAUGCAGAUAGUUUAAAGAUAUGUGAAAUGAAAAAAAAUAAAAAUCUGACAUGUAUCAGUGAGAAGGAAAUAAUUAUGCAAUACAUGUAGAAAUGCUUGGUAGCUUUUUUAACAAGGAAUUGAUGGAAACUGUUCCUGUUGCUGCUACAAACCGAUUUUCCAUUACAAUGAAUGACUUUUCAUUGUCGCCCUUUCCAAUUACUUUUCAAACAUUUCAAAUAAGUUGCCAUUCCAUGAAGCUAAUUCGUUGCUUUUUGUUGUGACUGCCUGACUGCUGUUAUGUCAUCAUGUUCGGCUGGCAGAUUUCAUAAAUGAAUCAUUAACUUUAGAGGUUAUGCUGGAAACAGAUGGUGAGUGAUAUUGGUCUUUAAAACUGGCAUUGAAUAUGGCAUAUACUAAUUGAUAAUGGCAUCGUUGGAGCUGAUAUACAGAGGUAUUAUUCCUCGUAUAUCUGAACUGCGAAGAAACUCUUGUGGGAAUACGUUCAUAAAUCAAUGGUGACGGCUCUGGGAUUUACCCCUAAUUACCAUGCCACUGACACAAAUCACGAUGAAAGAUCCAUGUAUCAGUUCAAAAAUCCAAUGGCCCAUGCGUGAAGCAUACAGGGGAUUAAUCUACUUAACCUCUGUACUUUUCGUAUUAAACAUAAAUAAAAUACUCUACUAUCCUCCUGUCAUAACUGGGCUAUUAGAAUUACACGAGGGAUGCCUCUACUUGAAGGAUAGCACACAUGACAUUAUCCUUUCCACUUAACAAUAAAUUAAGGCUUCUUAAUUAUUCCAAAUGAUGGUUUUAAGACAAGUGUCAUAUGUGGGAAUAUUAACGAACAGAUGGACGAUGGCUUACCCUGUUUCUUCGGCACAAUUAAUCUGGUUGCUGGACAGCUGCAAGCAACUUCUAGUGACGUGUGGUGAACAGCUGAGAUUCUUUGCAGGGAAUCUACCAGGACCAGACCGCAAUAAUUGAGUUAAGAAUAGCAUACCAUUUUCAAUAUCAGGCACGAAUAUACUGUUCAAUUUGACAGAAUCCUGGAUUUGGUUACAAGAUUCCUCAUGUGAUGUUGUCAAAUCAAGGAUCAAAAUCGACUGCUAUCGUGCAACUUUAUCAUUUUCUGAUAAUAAAAUUCUUCUGGAGAUUUUUUUUUCUAAAAAAAAAAACUAGUAAUUCUAUUAUACAAAUUAAUUGCUGUAAUAGAUAGCUCUGACACAGAGAACAACUACUUUGUCUGCCUGUGUGGUGUUUUCAUGACAACGCAGGUACUUGUAGCAUGAGAUUUCUAUGAAAAUACUUCUCACUGAAAGCACAAGAUAAGAAUUUGCUUGGUUUUCCUACAAGGCAAGUGGGAAAACAACCAGCAAAACAAAUCUUAAUUUUUCAUGUCAGGUUUUUUUUAAUGAAGACUGCACCUACUAACAUCCUCGAUGGAAAACCUGAAGAUAGAACUAAUUAACAUAAGCAAGCUAAGAGCAAGCUAUAGGACCAAUAAAGAUUUUACAUCAAUAUUGAUUGUUAUCUUCACGAGGAUCUUCAGCCUCUUUGAAUCUCCUCGAAGAUAUUAGAUUAAACAAAUUUGUAAGACUCUUCUUAGCUCUUUUCUUCCUAUGGACCCUUCUCUGAGCAUCUACCCCACUAAAUGAAUCAUCUAAAACAAGACCUCUCUCCAACCUUUUGUACACAUUCACAAUCUCAUAGGAAUCCCACAGUGAUUGCUUAAAAUCCCAAUUUCCUCUCUCAACCCUCUUGGCUGAUGACUUGUUCAUUGCUUCCAGCUUAAACCGAGAAGGCUUGCUUUGAAAAUUUUGUCGAUAUUUAUCAUAUUCACAGCUGGUAGACCUUGAACUGCCCGAGUGAGCAUGCCACGAUUGUGCCACACCCUUGAAGAUUUCAAGUUCAUGCUUAUCAUCAUCUUCAUGCUCUGACCUGUUCUUCAUGCUUAAUGGUAACUUAUGCAACAAAGUUCACUCUUGGCCAUGUUAUCUUGCCUAAUCUAGAGCCUCACAAUAUUGCUGCUAAAAUGAGAGAUAAGCUUUUGGUGUCCCUAUUCUCUCUGCUAUUGAUAACUGGAAAAUUUGUUAGUUUCUACAAUUGCAAUUUAUUUGUGGAUUAGAAGUCUUUCUUUUGACAGUUGGUUAGUUGUUUGUGUCCCACUGUCCAUUAAUCAAUACUCAUAUAUUCAUUGUCCUUUUUUUAAAAUUAAAAUCAAUUAGAAUUUUCAUUUAAAAUGUGUACCCACAACAUAUUUUUUAAUUAAUCCAAUAAAUAAAUAAUAAUUCAAAAAUUCAAAAGUUUAAAUUAAAAAAACAUAAUUCAAAUAUUUAAAAUCCAAACUAAACUUCCAGUUUCAAAUAUCCAAAUGAAAAUAACCACAAUUCAUAAUCGUUUCUUUAUUUGUGAAUAGUAUUGUUAUUAGUAUUAUUUUAUUUUAUUUUAUUUUGUCAUUGUCUCAUUUAGGUUUGGUCAAGUCAUCUAUAUUACUAAAAACUUGAUCAAGUUGAACUGGUUAUGUCAAGUUAAAGCCUUAGUUGGUUCAACUAGUAAUCUAGCUCGAGAAAGGCUCCGAUUCCAAGAUUUCUCGGGUCAAUCUGAAAGAUCAAGCCAAGUUCUACAAUUAUAAUUGUUAUCUUAAAAUCAAACCCUCGUCUAUGUUAAGAUUUUACCAUUUUAAUACAUAUUUCUUAUUUAAAAAAAAAAAACGCAUAUAUACAGAACAUAUGUGAGUCUAUAUAAACCCAUUAUGAGAGUUGAUAACAUCAUUUAAUUUUCUUUUAACAUAGAUAAUGUUUUGAUAAGUUUUUUGCAAUUUAUAAUGCUCAUUGCCUUUGAGUAAAAUCCAAAGGCAGUGGUCUUGGGUUGGAUCACAUGUUUUGAUAUAUCUCACUUGAUUAAAAGUUGAAACAUUUAGUCCAAGUCUAUUACAUAAAAACAUUUUACAUAUCUCUUAAUUUAGUAAAUAAUGAUUCGGAAUCAAAUUCAAACAGAAAUGUAAAUAUAGUUGUGAAUUUAAUAUAAAAAUAACAAAACUGAUAUUUGCUGGAAAAAAAACAGAUUGUUUUUUUAUAUAUAUAUAGACUUUCCAUGACCAUGGAAUUUUUUGAUCAAGUUUCCUACAUUACCAGUAAAUUUAUUUACAGCUGCUUUUCUAUUAUAGUUUUUAUAAGAAUAUCUAUUUCUUAGAAUUUUUUUUUUUAUAAGUUUGAAGACUUACAAUCAUAACAUAUUAAAAUUAAGUCUUGUUAAACUACUGACAAUUAAGUCUUGUUAUUCCAAAUGAUGGUUUUAAGACAAGUGUCAUAUGUGGGAAUAUUAAUAUUAAUAAACAGAUGGACGAUGGCUUACCCUGUUUCUUUGGCACAAUUAAUCUGGUUCUGACAAUCCAAAAGAAAAGGGUGUCAAUUCAAAUAAUAGUUUGCAUAACACAAUCUUAUUAUAAACAUCAGGAGAUUUAAUUGCAUGUUCAUCAAUAGGCAGCCCAAGCAAAACCAUUACGUCCUGUAAUGUUUGUCAUCUCUUCAUGCCUAAUAUGAAAGGUAUGUCUCAUGUCUUCAUCGUUUAAUUAAUGCAUGGAUACAUAGAUCAAGCCAUGAUCAAGCUUAAUAUGGUCUAUACAAAUAACAAACAAAAAACAUGUGUCUGUACAAGCAUGCCAAGACAGUUUGUCACGACCCGAUUCCCGAAUCCAUGACCGGCACAUAAGCAAGGUUCCUCUCCAAGGUUCCAUACCUAUGCGAAUCCAAACUUACAUACAAACUUAUCAUAACUCAAUCAGAGUCCAACGCAGCAUUAGUAACAAAAUUAACUUCAUAAUAUAAUUCGAUUGUCUUAAUACAAGAGUUAAAACAAAUUUCAUAGUUAUGGAGCACUGACUGAACAUAAAAGGAAAAUACUAAUUUCAACCAAAAAGCAGGUUCGGAAGGUUCAACAAAAAUGACCUACUAACAAGUUAUAAGCCUGAAAAGAUAAAUAAUGAGAGGGUGAGUUCAACAACUCAGUGAGUAGAUAACGUUCAAUGUACACACACGAGGUAAUACAACAAUGAGAAUAUAUAUACAAUUAUGGCUCUAGGUUCUUAUAGGAAGGUUUCUCAAAUAGGUCAUAACAAGAAUAUCAUAAGGUAAAGCUCGUCAAAAAAUCAAAAUGCAAUGAGCAUGAGGCUCCGUACUGUGGGAUGAUCAGUCCACACAGGUUGGUGACUCCCCCGACCAACUAGGGUUCAGAUACGAUGUGCACAAAGACUAACACUACCCUGUUAGCAUGGGUAUUCUGACUGACAUACCAUAGCUUCAUAAUCAUAAUCAAACAGACAUAUUCAUAUCUCAAUGCUCAACUCAUGACAUCAAUCAAAUGAGGAGCUAUCAAUUCAGAAGUCAAUUCAAAAUAUAUACUGGUUCAUAUCAAGAAUUCAGAUUCAACAAUUGAUCAUGCUUUAUCAUAGCAAUGAUAAUAAUCAACAUAUAUAUUAUUAAGAAGCAUGAUCCAAUUCAUAUUAACAAAUCAAAUAUUUAUAAUAUUUCUCAUGCAUAUAAAAAAUUAUCCACUCACCUGACUCGAAAGCAAACGACACUCAAAAGCAGAUACUGAAGGAAAUUCUACUGAUGUCCCGCCGGUAGAAUAUCAGGAUUAUCUGAAUACAAAGGAGACAUAUUCAAGAAUGAAUCAAAAGAACAUAUAACCUAUUUAAUACACUUAUCUAAGGGUAUAUUCCAUAACCCUAUAUGUUUUUAAACUAAACUAGUUAUUUCUCAAAAACCCAAAAUUAAACGGUUUUCCCAAAAUCUAAUCCAUAAUAAAACAAAUAAUAAAAUUAGUAAUAAUUCACUAAAACCUUAAUUUAUUCAUCAAACCAAUCUGAAAAAGCUAAUAUUACAGCAAGGGACUAAUCUGGAAUUUAUCAUAUUUUUAAGGGUCAAAUUGUAACUUUUGUCAAAUUGAAGGACCAAACUAAAAAUAUCAUAAAUCCAUGACUAUACUGAAAUUCUGACCAUAAUUAAUCCUCAAUUCUGUCCAGAAUAUCUCAUUAUGUUCCAGGGACCAUUCUGGAAUUUUACCAAAUUUUUAGGGUCUAAUGGUAAUUUUUGUCAAAUUGGAGGAACAAAUUGAAAGUGUUAAAAUUUCAAUACUAUACAGGAAUUCUGCCCAUAAUUCAUCUUUUAUUCUGUUCAGAAUCUCGGAAUAUCUUCUAGGGACCAAUCUGUAAUUUUCUAAAGUUUGGGGACUAAACUGUAAUUUUUAUAAAUUGAGGGACCAAACCGAAAUUUUGUUAUCUUCAACCUCUAACCCAAAAUUUCAACAGAAAACCUACUGUUCUUUCCAGAUUUCUAACUCAAAAUUCACCAUUUAUACAAAUCAUAACUCAAAAUUGUCAUCUUUAUCUACAAUCUUCCAUAAUCAAUUAAAUAAUCAAUUACCUAUAAUAAUCAACCCAGAACAUUCAAAUUAAUUCAUCAAUCAAACCCAAAACACAAUCUUCAAAACCCUAACAUUCAUCAAAACCGAAAUUUAAAGUUCAAAGAACACAUUUAUACAUUUAUAAACCUAAAUCUUACCUUUAAACUUAUUUUCUUCAACUCCUUUCUAUUUCCCGUCUAAUUUCCCUCUUUUCUCUUCUUCUUCUUCUUCUUCUUCUUUCUCCCUUCUCUCCUGCCGUCCCUCACACUAAAAUUUCAGAUCCCUCUUUCUUUCUUUUUUUUUACUUCCUAUUUAUAUUUAUCAUCUCUUUAUUCAAUUACUACAAUACCCCUCAUUUAAUUAUACUUACUCUUUAAGCCUUCAAGGGCUUUGUAGCCUUUUCCUAUCUCUUUUAAUUCAAAAUAUAAAACGGUAGAUCCCCAACUAUAUGUGGGGCUGGCGUCAAAAUUAUCCAGGAGCAUCAGUUAAAUUAAGGCACAUAUCUACCUGUUAGGUCUAUAAGUAAUACACCGCCAAACAUAUGGAGUAUAUAUGCUCUGACAUACAAACAUAACAUAUUAAAAUUAUCACAAUCAUAAUCAUUCAUGCAAACUUAACAAAUAAUCAACACAUUCAAAUCAUAAUUUAUUUUAUACCUCCACAAAACCUCCUCGUUAGCAUCAUCUAGUGGUGUCGUUAAUGUCUCACAAUCUACUUAAGACAUAUGCUACCCCCCUUCAAUUCAAAAUAAAGGGGUGACAAUCCAAAUGAUCGCUCACAUAAUACAAUUUUAUUAUGAACAUCAGAAGAUGUGAUUGCACGUCCAUCAAUAGGCAGCCAAAGCAAAAUCAUCAUGUCUUGUAAUGUUGGUGUCAUCUCUUCAUGCCUAAGAUAUAAUGUUUGUGUCUCAUGUCUUCAUAGCUCAACUGGUGCAUGGAUCAAGCCAUGGUCAAGCUUGAUGUGGUUUAGACAACUAACGUAUAAUAAACAUGUCUAGAACACAUACAACUAAACCUGCUCAUAUAGUCUCAUUCACCUAUGUGUUCAACAAUAAAUAGUGGUCUCAUCCUCCAUAAAAAUUUAAAUUAUAAGCAUUUACUCAUAUAAUACCUUUAAUGAUAAGUAUAUUAAAAAUAAAUUAAAACCAUAUUAAAAUUAAAAAUUCUUACAAUGUCAGCGAAUACAUCCUCCGAUUGAUGUCGAUCCUGCAAUCGCAAGACAUAAAUGUUGGCGGGUUUAGUAGGCAUGUAUUGUGAUUGUUUUCCUAUUAUAGCUUGUUUCAUUACAUGUGCCACACCUAUAAUAUGCAUGACCUUCUCUUGCAUCCAUCUCGUUGUGCAAACGAGUAGACAUUCAUUGACCAAACCCGAAUUCCCAUCUAGAUGAGGCUGCUUCAACACAAGAUCUAGUGUAAUUAGUCCAUUCUAACUCGUCUGAUAAUAAACAGAAUAACAUGUCAUAUAUUGAUCAGUAACUUUGAACCGUGUAAUGAUUAUCAACAAACUAUAUAAAAUCUAUGUGACUCUUGGCACAACAUUUAAUAACAUGUGAACAUGAACGUUGAAAUGCCUGCCCUUUACCACAUGUGCAUGUUCUAUCAUUCAAAGUGACUGCCCGUCUGACUUCUUUAAUAACACCCAGUUUAAUAAGGGUGUUGACUUGGAACACCUUUUGCUCCGAGUCAAACAACAUUGCAGUAUAAUCUCUUAAUCUAUCACUACUCAUUGUCGAUUCAAUCUCAAUUGUUGGGGGCCAAAUUUUACCAUGUUGAAUAAAAUCAUUAGCUUUACGUCUCCACUUGACCCAAUAACUAUUAUACCGGUAAAAUGUUAACUGCACCAGAGCUGAAACAAGUAUUGAACGAGCACCUUUCAAAACAUGAUUAAAUGAUUUGAAAGAUUAGUUGUCAUGUUACCAUACCGGUGACUACCAUCAUAAUAUAAAGCCCAUUUUUGUUUUAGUUCUAAUUAACAACUGUUUCAGGAUUUGAUUCUUUUAUUACCAACAACAACCUAGGCAAUUUUUGAAAAGACUCUUCAUGUGAACCAAUAAGAUUCUUAAUCACCUUCUGUUUUGGAACCCAUGCUUUUUCAUAUGAAAUAUUAUACUUGUAAUGCAAUUUUAUUUCAUCUUGUAUGCUUGCAGCCAUAAUUGAAAGCUUAUUCAUUACUAGGGUUAAUUUACAUUCAAGUGCUUGCACACAUUGUAAUUGAACAAAUGUAGAGUUCAACCGUUCAACUCGGUAUUUAACCAAAUGUGCAAUGUUAUCGUUAACUACAUUAACCAAUUUAUUUUUACUACUGAAUGUUUGUCUAACCUCUAAAUCAGACCCUCCUGAAAUGCAUUUAUGACUAAGUGCCCAGUCAUUAAAAACAAUAAAACUAAACCCAGAAGCAUCUCUAAAUUCAGGAACAGGAGGUAUGAUUUCAUCAUCAACAUCAUCAUUAUUUACCAUCUCAUUCGAGUUUAACAUAUCAUUAUCUUCAUUGUCACUAGGCUUAGAAUAGUCAAAUCUAUAUUAAUCAGCAAAUGGAUUGUCAAACAUAGUAUCAUCUAUCCUUUAUAACAAAUUGUCCGACAACAACACUGUAUUUACCUCUACUAACUAAAUUUGAAGGAUCAACUUAAGUUGGGACACAUAGAUUUUAGUCGACUACUUAUAUACAAUAUCAUCAUGUUCAAACCACUUUGCAUGAAAGAAUCAAUCGUUAUCUUACAACUGUCAUCACAUAUAACCGCUACAUGAUAAUACUGAUGUUCGCCAAUCUGACACCUCCAAGCUAUUUAAACAUCAAUAUCAUUAUCUCAAGUCCAUGAUAAAUGGUUUCUUUCAUUUAUGCAUAUGACAUGCCUAAAUAAACAUUUAAUAACAAACUACUCCAACCAUUGUAUGUGAUAUUGUUCACAUCAUGAACAAUAGUACCACUGUAAAGACAUAAUAUAAAUAUGUUAUAAACCAUUUUGUAAAAAAAAAAAUGAAUUCUGGUCAAUUAUUCAUAAUUGUAACUAAAUUGCAUUACCCCAAAACCAAUCGGCAAAAUUCAUAUCAAAUUCCCAAAAUUUAACAUUAAAGAAAAUUCACCAAAAAUUAAACAUAAUUCUUGAUAUAAAAUCUAAUUGAUAUUUUCAUGCUCAAUCACAUUAAAUCAAACCCAAAUUCAUAUCAAAUUAAUAUAAUUCAAAGAAAAUACCAAACUUAUCAACUUAUCAACAAUUCAAUGGAACAUGUAAUUUGUCAUAAUUCUACCGCAUUUAGGCUCUCUUACAUGAAAUCAUCAAGCGCAUUUAAUUACAUUAUUAGCUUAUUCUAGCAAUAUACAUAAAAUCCAUAAUUCAACAACUUAACAACAAUCGAAUGCAACACAUAAUUAAUUGAAAUAAUUAAUUCAUAAUUAAUUUAACUUAUUUUCAUGUUCAACUAUAUCAAAUCAACCCUAAUUGAUGAUAUUUUUAACUAAUUUAAUAUUAAUUCAACAAACUCUAAAUUCACCAUAAAUCCUAAAUUCAACCUAAACAAUUAUUUCAUUUCAACCAAACCAAACUCAAAUUCAUAGAAAUAUGAUAUGUUUACCUUGUUUGAAGGACUAGAAAAAAGGUUGGGAAGGUGGCGGCAGCAAUGACAACAAAGGGAAUAGUCGAUUUUGAAUCCCAAACAUGUCCAAUGAAGUUUAAAGACUAUGAUAGGUUUGGUUUUUGUUGUUUUAAGCGCAAAAUAAAAGUAUUUGAUGGGGUUUUAAUUUUUAGAAAGAUUGUGAGGGCGCCAUUUGGUUUUUAGAGAGAGAAGGCGUCUUUGAUUUGAGGGAUAACUUAAAUUGUAAUUGAUGUUACGCUUUAGAAAUACGACAAUUACCUUGUCGCGCUUUUUAAUAGUACAAUUUACUAAAUAUCGAGUUUCUAAAACAUGACAAGAUAAAAAUAUAUUAUUUCACUAAAUCUUUUUCAAACAGUAAUACCCUACCAAAACUUUAAGUUCAGUGUUCUAAUUGUGUUUUUUUUUAAAAAAAAAAACGUUUCUCGUUGUACAUGUGUCCUUUUGGAUGAAAUAUUUGUUUCUCAUCAUGAUUUUUCUCCAACGUUGUGUUUUCUAUGAAAAUCAAUAGUUUUAUCCUAGGUACUCUGUACUCAAAAGGUUUUUGAUAUCUUCUAGGCAAGUAUUUUUGCAACUUUUGGUGAAUUUAUCUUUUUUUUUCUUACAUCUUUGAAAAAAUUAACAUAUUCUUCUUUUUCUAUUUUACUAGCAAUAUUGUCGUUUAUUUGUUUGUUGUGCUAUGAGGGAGAAAACACAGCCCAGAAUGCAUAUUGAACUUGCUGCCACAGCAUAAGCUUCUACAGUCUUUCAUUAAUUUAAAAUAUAUUUAGGUUUAAGGCCUCCUCUUCUGAUGAAAAUAUACAGCUGGGAAGAAACAAAGGAGAACGGGAGAAAGAUUUCCUAGUCAGGAUGUUGAGAAAAGAAGGAAAAAAGGCCUUGUUUUCUGUGUUAGAUGUGAUUUAAGGAUAAAAAAGAGAGAGAGAGACAAGGAUAUGGUGGUUAUUUUAUUAUAAAUUGGAUGUAGUAUUCAUGUAGGAAGAUGGGGAUGACGAUCCCCGGUUCUAUCGAAAAUGGAAAGGUCAUAAUCCACCAAUGGUUCUGAGGAGGUGGGCAUGGACUAGUCUUAGGCUUCGGUUUGCUUUGCACUGUCGUAAGUUUAUGGUGAUGGGUCUCUGGAAAUUAAUGGCUGAUUAGGUCAUAAUCCACCAAUGGUUCUUCUAGAGGUGUGUUUGUUUGGUGGUUCUGAAUUUGUGGUCUAGCAGAAGAGAUAAGAACAAAUCCCUAUACUGCUCUCCGAAUCUUAAUAACAAAUUCAAAACAAUACCGGAGUUUCUAAACAUGCACAAAGGUAGUUUAGUAUUGUGGCUGAGCCUACAGUGCAGCUACGGCUUGUUUUAAUGUAGCAUGAUAUAAAUGGCAUCUAAUCUCCAAAUAUCUAUCAUGAAUUCAAAAGUUGUGGGUUAUAAUCUUCUUUCAGGAAGGGCCAGAAACUUGGAAUAAUACUGCAUAGGUGAUGUGAAUCGAUUCAGGCUCUCCACUUUCUAGGCAUUUAUUCUCUUUCAAAGAAUGUGGAUAACAUGAUAUCUGACAAGAGAUAAGGAAUUAGAUGCAACUUUACCAUCUUGAGAGGAUAAAUUCGAAAGACAUGGGUCUACAAAUUUGCAGAUUCUCUUAACUAAUUGUUGUAAACUGAGCAAAUCAGCAAAAAAUGUCUCGAGGCUCUGCCUACCAAACUUGGCAGCGGCAAGGCUCGAACACCACGUCCGGUGAUUACCAUGACUAUAUUUCGACGUUAUCAAAGACGCCUAGCAUUAUCCAUGGUGCCCCCCAGUACCCAAGUGUUCACAAGGCCUUCAACAACAAGGUAACUCAAGAUGAAGAGGUUAAUGAGGUUCGCCAAGACAAUGUCAACAAGAAGAAUCCACCAGGUCUGCCAGGAAGGUUCGGGUGAAGGAGCAAGUGCAAGUUAUCGAUCAAAAUGGGAAUCGGAAAUCACAAGAUAUCGAAGAAGUGGUGGAGCUGAUGUUUUCAUCAAGCAGAAGCAAAAGGGCUUUGAACUGAGCAAAUUGAAGACCUGCAAAUAUAAUUUUAAAUUAGGCUAGGGAGCAUGUCGGUUGUGCUUAGAUUACUGGGAAACUACAUUCCAGCUGCAGUGUGAACCAACACAGAUAUUUAAAUAAAAUGCCCGUCUUUCUUGUGUUGGCAGAACUUUCUUUCAGGGUUGUUUGGAUAUAGCAUGUCAAGAAAAUUUUAGUAUUUUAUCUUUUAAUAAGACAAUAUAGUGUGAUAUACUAUAGCUUUUCAUUGAUGGUAUUCUGUCACGAAAGAUUUUGCCUUGCUGCUUAUUUAUGAAUCCAGGGUUUCAUACAGUGCAAUCUUAUUACAGCGAUUAAGCAUUCAACAAAAUAAAUUAUCGAUUUGAUGAGUGUUACAGAAGCUAAACUUCGGAGCGAAAUGCAAAUGAUGCUUUGCCAGAUUAUAAUUACUACAUCAAAUUCUGAAUCGCACAGUCUAGAUUGGACAAUCUAUUGUUGAUGCUUGAGAUUUGCUGACUGCAUACAUGAUAUAUGUUGCCAGAAUCAACUAUAUAUUAGAUAAUAUAACAUCUUUAACCCUUUGGUUAAUGUUUUAUAUGUUCUCUUGCCUUCUUUCUUUUGCUGUAUCUAGGCUUAUAUA
This 23937-nucleotide long non-coding RNA is filed under the name Populus trichocarpa (black cottonwood). RNAcentral's name for it is "long non-coding RNA (PTRI_LNC002925)". The record is from RNAcentral. Lineage: Eukaryota; Viridiplantae; Streptophyta; Magnoliopsida; Malpighiales; Salicaceae.